UACGAAGGGGGGCUAGCGUUGCUCGGAAUCACUGGGCGUAAAGGGUGCGUAGGCGGGUCUUUUAAGUCAGGGGUGAAAUCCUGGAGCUCAACUCCAGAACUGCCUUUGAUACUGAGGAUCUUGAGUUCGGGAGAGGUGAGUGGAACUGCGAGUGUAGAGGUGAAAUUCGUAGAUAUUCGCAAGAACACCAGUGGCGAAGGCGGCUCACUGGACCGGAACUGACGCUGAGGCGCGAAAGCGUGGGGAGCAAACAGG
Molecule: ribosomal RNA, 255 nt
Filed under: uncultured bacterium
Lineage: Bacteria
Description: partial 16S ribosomal RNA
Rfam family: Bacterial small subunit ribosomal RNA
Source: RNAcentral